Long non-coding RNA from Callithrix jacchus (white-tufted-ear marmoset), 854 nucleotides. RefSeq lists it as uncharacterized. The record is from RefSeq and is a predicted model, not a curated record. NCBI's taxonomy places the organism in Eukaryota, Metazoa, Chordata, Mammalia, Primates, Cebidae.
UGAAGAUAUAUAUUAGGAUUUUAACAUGCUUUGAAUAUCCACUUUCAGAACAGGAGACAUCCGCAGCAGGUGGGGCUUGCAAAUGAUAUUUCUAAUCAGAUGUUCAUCCAGAAAGUAAUUAACUUUAGGAAAGUAAAGGCCCUAGAGGCUUCCGAAAAGAUUUUCUUACUCUCAACUCUCCCUGAGCAUUGCUUGAUCUUUGCCUCCCCCUGAGCUGCAGAGCCCAGAGGGAAGAUGAGAAGCAAGUCCUGCUGAUAAGGAUGCGGAUCACAUUUGGGUGACUCAGAGCUGUGCGGGUUGCAGAAAGCACAUGGGUGAAGGGACAGUGAGUCCCCUGAAGACCACUAAAGCCUAAAAUACAUGAUGAGGAUCCCAAUCGUGGAUACUAGAGAUCCAUGGUUUCACGUGGAAUGGAGACCCUCCACAGUUCUGGGAAAUCUCACAUCUUUUACGGAGUCAUAUGGAAGACAAAAGAGAAGAUGACAUUGAGGAAGGCAGACAGGAGCACAGAGGUGCCAUCUGUGGUUCUUCUGGUUCCUAGUGAGAGAAGAAUAUGCCAAUGUGUUAUAUAGGAUCUAAGAGAUCACUUGGCCCCAAAUUCCCAUUUUGUAGAUGCAAAAAGGUUCAUGCUUAUUCUAGAUCAUCAUUAUGGGCAAAUUAUGACCUUUCCCAAAUUCAUAUGUGGAACCCUUAAUCCCCAGAGUGACUGACUGUAUUUUGGCAGAGAGUCUAUAAAGAGAUAAUAAAGGUUAAGUGAGAUAAUAAUAAGAAUGAGAUCUUUAUCUGAUCAGAGUGGUGUCCUUAUAAAAGUGGAAGAGACAUCAGAGUGCCCUCUCUCUCUCUUUCUCUUUGUA